GAUGAACGCUGGCGGCGUGCCUAACACAUGCAAGUCGAGCGAACAGACGAGGAGCUUGCUCCUCGGACGUUAGCGGCGGACGGGUGUGUAACACGUGGAUAACCUACCUAUAAUACUGGUAUAACUUCGGGAAACCGGAGCUAAUACCGGAGAAUCUAUUGAACCGCAUGGUUCAAUAGUGAAAUACGGUUUUGCUGUCACUUAUAGAUGGAUCCGCGCCGCAUUAGCUAGUUGGUAAGUUAACGGCUUUCCAAGGCAACGAUGCGUAGCCGACCUGAGAGGGUGAUAGGCCACACUGGAACUGAGACGCGGACCAGACGCCUUCGGGAGGCAGCAGUCGAGAAUCUUACGCAAUAGGCGAAAGCAUGACGGAGCAACGGCACGUGAGUGAUGAAGAUCUUCGGAUCGUAAAACUCUGUUAUUAGGGAAGAACAAAUGUGUAAGUAACUAUGCACGUCUUGACGGUACCUAAUCAGAAAGCCACGGCUAACUACGUG
RNAcentral lists this ribosomal RNA (497 nucleotides) under uncultured bacterium. RNAcentral describes it as "partial 16S ribosomal RNA". It matches the Rfam family "Bacterial small subunit ribosomal RNA", at positions 28 to 507 of the family's 1533-position model. The record is from RNAcentral.